UGACCUCGGAUCAGGUAGGAAUACCCGCUGAACUUAAGCAUAUCAUAGCCGGGAGGAAAAAGGAUCAUUACCGAGUUUAAACUCCCAAAUCCUGUGAAACAUAACAAUUGUUGCCUCGGCGACCGCCGCUGGGUAAAAGGGGGAGUGCCCCAAGGCACCAAACUCUGUUUCUAGUAUGUAACGUUCUGUAGUUAAAACAUGAAUUGAAUUCAUAACUAUUCACCACGGUACUCUCGGGUUCUGGCAUCAAUAAAAAAGCAGCACAAAUGCGAUGAGGUAAUGAUGAAAUUGCAGAAAAUCAUUGAAAUCAUCGCAGCUGUGAAAGCACAUUGCGGCCGCGGUAUUCUGGCGGGCAUGCUGUUUCUAAGCUCUGUUCACUCCAGCAGAGGGGGUGUUGGGCACCCGUCCGAUCAAUACUGAUCCACAAUGAGUGGGCGGGACCCUCGUUCUCCUUACGGAAUACUAGCACUCUGCUAGGGGAAGUGC
This 486-nucleotide ribosomal RNA is filed under the name Fusarium verticillioides. RNAcentral describes it as "partial 28S ribosomal RNA". The stretch from base 214 to 373 matches the Rfam family "5.8S ribosomal RNA". The record is from RNAcentral. Lineage: Eukaryota; Fungi; Ascomycota; Sordariomycetes; Hypocreales; Nectriaceae.